AUGGUCAGGGAUGUUGGUCCCAGUGUUGGGUGGCCUACCCUCACUAAAACCAACUAUGUCGAGUGGGCCGGGAUCAUGAAGGUCAGGCUCCAGGUGCGGCGCAUGUGGGAGGCAGUCCAGGACAGCAACGUCGACCACCUAGAGGAUCGACGGGCGCUGGACGCCCUUAUCGCCGCAGUCCCGCCCGAGAUGCAGUUCUCGCUUUCCAACAAGCGGACUGCCAAGGAGGCUUGGGACGCCAUCGCCGCAGCACGCAUCGGCAGCGACCGUGCUCGCAAGUCCACCCUGCAGGCACUUCAUAAGGAGUGGGAGAACCUGGGCUUCAAGCCAGGUGAGGACGUUGAUGACUUUGCUCUCCGUCUCAACACUCUGCUGCAGAAGAUGGUGAAGUUUGGCGAUGCCACCUACACCGAGGAGAGAGCUGUCGAGAAGCUUUUUCGGUGCAUUCCCGAGGAGUACAAGCAGAUGGCUCGCUCGAUCGAGUCGUUGCUGGACCUCUCCACGAUGACGAUCGAGGAGGCGAUAGGCCGUCUCAAGGUCGUCGACACCGACGAGCCACAGCCUCCCUCGGGGCCCAUCACCACCGGUGGGAAGCUGCUCCUAACUCGGGAGCAGUGGGAUCCCAGCCUUGGUGACAGGAAGAAGGGGGAGCCUUCUUCCACGACGGGCGGCCGCGCUCCCCUCCACCUCGACAAGCCAAAAGCACACGCUCUUCUCAGCGAUGGCUCCGGGAAGGACAAGACUGAGGGGUGGUGCCUCGAUACUGGCGCCACCCACCACAUGACCGGUCGAAGGGAGUUCUUCGCCGAGCUCGACUCCGACGCGCGAGGCUCCGUCAAGUUUGGGGAUGCCUCCGCUGUGGAAAUUAAGGGCGUCGGCUCCGUCAUCUUCACCACCAAGACGGGAGAGCACCGGCUGCUCACCGAUGUCUACUACAUCCCCGCGCUAAGGAACUCCAUCAUCAGCUUGGGACAACUGGAUGAGAACGCCUCACGCGUGCUGAUUGAGCAUGGGGUCCUACGCAUCUGGGAUCGCCAGGGUCGCCUUCUCGCCAAGGUACCCAGAGGUGGAAAUUGA
This 1077-nucleotide ribosomal RNA is filed under the name Triticum aestivum (bread wheat). Its description in RNAcentral is "partial small subunit ribosomal RNA". The record is from RNAcentral. Lineage: Eukaryota; Viridiplantae; Streptophyta; Magnoliopsida; Poales; Poaceae.